Non-coding RNA from Tinamus guttatus (white-throated tinamou), 264 nucleotides. The record is from RefSeq and is a predicted model, not a curated record. Lineage: Eukaryota; Metazoa; Chordata; Aves; Tinamiformes; Tinamidae.
GAGGUUGAGAGAAACCACAGAGAUUUGCUGCAGCUUCCCAAUGAUCUUGACUUUGUUUCCAAGGCAGUAGGAAUCCACUUUGAAGUUAUGCAGGCUGAAGCAGGUGCCAAUAUGAAGAAAUUGUUGGAAAUAGAGAAGCGUUUACUUCUGUCAACAGAGGAUUUGAAAGUACAGCAUGGAAAAUCUGUUCAAGGCAGUAUUAGCGCUUCAAAGGACCUGCAGAAGGAAUUUGCCAUUACUGAAAAGAAGAAGGAAGAACUUGCU